UCCCAGACUCCUACGGGAGGCAGCAGUGGGGGAUAUUGCACAAUGGGGGGAACCCUGAUGCAGCGACGCCGCGUGAGCGAUGAAGUAUUUCGGUAUGUAAAGCUCUAUCAGCAGGGAAGAAAAUGACGGUACCUGACUAAGAAGCCCCGGCUAACUACGUGCCAGCAGCCGCGGUAAUACGUAGGGGGCAAGCGUUAUCCGGAUUUACUGGGUGUAAAGGGAGCGUAGACGGCGGCGCAAGCCAGAUGUGAAAGCCCGGGGCCCAACCCCGGGACUGCUCUUGGAACUGCGCGGCUGGAGUGCAGGAGGGGGAGGCGGAAUUCCUGGUGUAGCGGUGAAAUGCGUAGAUAUCAGGAGGAACACCGGUGGCGAAGGCGGCCUGCUGGACUGCGACUGACGUUGAGGCCCGAAAGCGUGGGGAGCAAACAGGAUUAGAUACCCGCGUAC
RNAcentral lists this ribosomal RNA (447 nucleotides) under uncultured bacterium. Its description in RNAcentral is "partial 16S ribosomal RNA". It matches the Rfam family "Bacterial small subunit ribosomal RNA", at positions 329 to 793 of the family's 1533-position model. The record is from RNAcentral.